RNAcentral lists this long non-coding RNA (17487 nucleotides) under Setaria viridis. Its description in RNAcentral is "long non-coding RNA (SVIR_LNC009987)". Lineage: Eukaryota; Viridiplantae; Streptophyta; Magnoliopsida; Poales; Poaceae. The record is from RNAcentral.
CCAGGCCUAAUUCACAAAGGGGUUUUAAAUUUCAGGAAAAGGGUAGAGGAAAAUGGGGGAGCUCUGAAGGUUAUACGAAGACUGGGAGGCUAUUUGCAGAUUUAGAGAUAUUGUGGACUAGGGGUUUAUCAUGUCUGUGGGGAAGUGACUGCAUGGGGUAACCCUUAGUGGUCUCCUGCCACUCUUGGCUUGUUUCCUGACUGUGUGGUGAUAGCUAACGUCCGUAAGAAGCGUACUGAAGGCUGGAACGGGAUAACACAGGGAAAUUGUACAGUGACCAAUUCAUUGAAGUCUCAGCUAAUGUGUGCGGAAUAGUUUUUUUGGCCAAAUUUUGCUUUGGCUACUUUGGGCUCAAACCGGAGUACCUUGACAACACAAGAAACUGUUGGACAAGCAAACAAAACUGCAUUGCAAAUAAAUGUAGAUACUUAUGUGUCAGGGAGGUUUACAUGUAUAGUAGCAUUAUGCUUUUGCAACUAAAAUGAAAAUCAAAAGGUCUUUGUGAGGCUUGGUUUCUUUGGCUUCAAUGCUUGAGGUGUUUGUCAAUUUUGUGAAGUCAUACAUAUGGCCAUACAUCACUUGAAGUAGGUCGUGUAUAAAAUUUGGAAAUGCAGAAUUGAUGUGAUUGGGAGAAUGCCCUCUUGCAGACUUGCACUGCAUUUAUGUUUCAGCGGUUCAGGGUCAUCUAACACCAUACUACACACACUCCUCAUAAGGCUGUCAUGUAAACCUAGCCCUUGUUCUCUUACCUCCAAACUCCUAACUUUUACACUAUGCAAAAAGAAGAUUCCCCAUCACAUCAAACUUGCGGUACAUGCAUGGAGUACUAAAUGUAGACGAAAUCAAAAACUAAUUGCACAGUUUUGUUGUACUUUGCGAGACGAAUCUUUUGAGCCUAAUUAGUCAAUAUUUGGACAAUAAUUCACAAAUACAAACGAAACGCUACAGUGUUGCUACAGUAAUUUGGCACCUCCCAAAUUCGCGAAGUAAACAAGGGCCUAUGUUGCUUUGUUUCUCUGAAAUAAAGCAGGAGAACCUUGAUUCUAACAAUGUUUCAGCCGUUCUUUUGGGGUUCAGGAUAUGAAGGAAUGGGAUCAGCUUCCUGAUGCUACUUAUGUGUUGUACCUUUUGUUUUGCGUCCAAGUUUUGGGAAUAUUUAAUUACUUUUCUUGUUUCUGCAGGUGUUAAUAUUAUCGCACCUGGACGAUUUGCACAAGAACCUGUUGCUGAGAAAGCUGAGGACAGUAGAGAGAAAAUGGCAAAUGCUUUUGAGUACAACCAUGCAUCUAAACCAAUGCAUUCAUGAGCUUUUCAUCAAGUAAUUUUAACAGUUGGAACCUGAGUUGUAUCCAAGUUGUAUUCAAAUGGUUGUGCGUGUAGCAUGCUCACCAAGAAACUCAAUAGCAUCUAAUCCUCUAAACUCAUGAUCCAGUGGUGUUUUUACUUAGGUUACCUAAGGUAUAAUUUUAAUUUCUGAUGAACUUCUUACUAUGGUCAUGCAAGACCAUUGUGCAUAUAUGAUGCUCAAUUGCUUAUCAUGGCUGACUUAUGGAGCUUGAUGCAAUUUAAACAAUCUAUAUUUAGCUGGAAUGUACUCAUCGGAUUAUUCUGUACUCAAAUUAUGCGCAACCUUAUUUUGUUCAUGGACUUUCAAUUCCUUCUAGGAUUUUUUUUUGGCAAUUGAUUUGUGCAGAUAGAUAUUUGGUAAACCUCUGUAUUACACACAGCAUACACUGUGAGUUCUUGCAAAGAAACUUACAGCGCUGCUGACGCAAGUGCUUAUGCUGUAGAAACUGAAGAAAGCUACUCUAGGUUUGCCGGCAUCGGAUAUUCUUCAGUCUUCACCAUUGAUUAUUUUCGUGCUCUGUGCUGCGUGUAGCCACUUUUUCCGUGCCCAGGUACCAGUAGAUGGAAAUUACCCAGACCCACAUGUGAGCCACUAUUUGGUUUUCGGUACUUUUUUGUAGGUAAAGUUCAAGUAAAUUUACAUCCUUGGUUCACAAAUGAAUUUCACACAGUAUUUUCAGCGGAUUUCCUUAAAUCCUUUGAUCAGAACCCUUGUAAGGCACAAUUCAUUCAUGGAACAAGUCAUCCUGACAAUGCUGGUAGAAGCUAAGUGAGGCUUGUCAGUAUCUGCCAAAUAGAUGAAAACAAAGGGAUAACACAACACGUUAUAUGUUCAAAUAGGAUUUGAUGCAGAAGAAACCAUGUGCUUGACGACACACCAGUUUACAUAAAUGGACAUCAUGAUCUUGACAAACUUUUCUUUUUCGAAAUGUAAUUCGGUUUCAUCCUUAUCAAUGCUGCUAGAGCUCAUAUUUUGACAAAACCUGAGGUAUUGGAGCGGCCUCCAUUCACCACAAAACCUGAGGUAUUGGAGCUGCCUCCAUUCACCCCAGCUUGCGCCCUAAAUUAGAUUUUCAGGAAUGACAAAGGUCAGAUCUCUCUUUUCAGUAUCCUCCAAACAAUUAGCACUAGUGAUCAGUCUGCACACAGUUUUGUAGAACAGACAGUGCAGCUUUACUAGAAGGAGCUUUACCAGAGGUCUGCUGGUUGCCUGAUUUUUUGAGUUGCAGUGUAGUACUUGCUUUCUGUUGUUGUGAAUGUGCAACGCAGGCCCUCCAGCAUAGGUCGACACAACCAGCUUGCAUUGUUGACAACCAUGAACAAGGAGCUAGCAGUUCCAAUGACCAAGCACAUGCAUGAAUUGAAUCAUAUAAAGGGCAUGCAUUGACGACGCACCUCUAGCUGGACGGAACGUGAUGCCAGGCGGCGCGACUGGCUGCAAUCACCUGCAUGCGGCGGUGCUCUCGACUGACCUUCUUUCUUUGGUUCGCGCGCCAUGUCUGCCAUGAAUCGCCUCCAUGUCGCCUCGGUCUGUGAUGGAGAGGGCGCGGCACCGUGGACUCCCGGAGGAAGGGAAGGUUGGUGACGGGAGGGACGGCCGGCCGGCCGGAGUGCCGUGAGCGAAGGGACGUCGCCGCCGCGUCUGGGACAGCGCUCAUUGGGUGCCGCCCUGACAUGGUGGGCCCAGGCGUACCUACUCUCCUGAUGAUCACAUCAAUCAAGAUAUUUCGCCGUGAAGUGCUUGCAGCAAGCUGCGAGCUCGCCGUGAGGCGGUCGCCGGAGGGGGACGCCUGCUGGAGGCCGCGGACGUAGGCGGCGGCGUAGCGCGCGGACACGGUCGGGUCCUCGCCGGGGGUCUCCUGCCCCCGGCCCCACCGCGGGUCACGGAAGAUGUUGACGUUCGGGGACCAGAAGGUGAGCCCCGCCUGCCCGCCGUCGUUCAUGGCGCGCGCCUCGUCGGAAACCGCGUGCAGAAAUGGAAUGAUAAAACAUAAAAAGUGUUCUUUUUUUUUUUCCUUGGUCGUCGCUCGUCGCGACUUCGCGAGGCACGAGGGCGCGGGUCCCAUUGGGUAUCUGCAUCUCUGACCCGUGUCUGGCCAAUCACGUGGCGAGCGCAAGUUACGAUGCACGCCGGCGAUCGCCGGCAGCGGCGCACGUGAAGGAUCGGAAGUGGCGCUCGUGAUCGAACAGGGGACUCGGCAGACAUGUUUACUGCUGCUGCUCGACAUGCACAGGCAGAGGACGCAGGCGAGGCGAUGAUGGUUCAGACAUCAGAAGCAAGGCCACUUGCAAGUUGCAACUUGCUCAAGAUCUUCAAGACGAAACAGCAGAUACAUGCCCAACAAUUCAGAAAAAUGUAGCAGUAGAGUCGACAUUUUAGGCUCCGUUUGGAUUUUAGUUGCUUCGAGUUCCUAUCACAUCGAAUGUUUAGAUACUAAUUAGGAGUACUAGUCCAUCAACCCGUGCUCCCGCACGAGUUAAUGUUUUUAGAAGUUAUUGUAUUUAAAAUUAUUUAGAAAUUAAACUCUUAGCUAAUAAUCAAAAUUUUUUACCUACUGCUCUAUUAUUUUUCCAAUACUUCAACAUAAUACUUAUAUACCUAUCUUUGUCCAGUUGUGAUUGAUUUUUAAUUAAUAAUUACUCUAUGCACUUUUUCAUCCACAUUCAUACUUGUUCAUUUUGUAUCACAACUCCAAUCCUCCAUACAUUAUGUUUAGCAUACAAAUCAAUAUUUUUCAUCGAUUCCGCACGUAUAUGCAUAAAUGGUCUAAAUGGUGGCACUCAUCAUGUGUAUAUACUUUAACUUAGUAUUUUUAUAUUACCAAUGACAUAAAUAUGUAAUUUAGAAUCAUAUAUUAGUUUACUUUUUGACAUUUCUGUAUGAUGCACAUGAAGAUAAUUAGAUUAAGAUUUAGAUGUUUACUUUAUGUUAUUUUUAAUAACGACAUACGUGGGUAACAUAGAUAAAAUUUUAGAAUGACAUUUUAAGUUAUGUUUUAUAAUGAUGUGUAUUAGUAAAUUGGAUGAAUAUUAUGAGGUUACUUUAGAUUAUGUUUUAUAAUAGCUGAGCUCGGUAAUUUAGAUAUAGGUUUAGAGCUCAUUUUUUAAUAUUUUCACAAUGACAGUGGUGGGUAACUUUUUAGAAAAUAUAAUAGAUCAAUGGCUAUGAUUAUUAGAGUUUAAAGGAUUGGUGUUUGAUGUUUUUAAUUUUUAUGAGAAUUUCUCUCUUUUUUCUAGUUUGUCUCGUGGGAACUAAUGCAGAGUCUCCAAUGAAAAAGAAAUGAGACUACAUUACUACAAAACUACUACCAUAGGCUACCUCUCAUUUGUUAAAUAUUCGAACACAAUACUUAUGUAGAUAUAUACUUAAUAUCUUCAUCCAAUUGUGAUAGAUUUUAGUUAGUAAUUACUUUAUAAUAUUUUCAUCCACAUUUAUAAUCUUUAACUUUUCACUUUGGAUCGCAGGUAUGCACUUAAAUUUGUUUAAUGAACCCUAUGUUUGAGAUACAAUUUUAGCAUAGAAAUCUAUAUUCCCAUCACUUUAUAUCCUUAUAAAUGGUGACACACAUCAUGCAUAUAGACCUUAAUUAUUAUAUCGUAUACCAAUAGUGUAAGAUAUAGACAAUUUUGAAUCAUAUAAUGUUGUAUAUUUUUAAUUAAGGUUAUUUGAUUCAAACGUAGGUUACCUCAUGUUAUUUUUAAUAAUAGCAUGUGUAGGUAAUAUAGAUGCAAAUUUAAGGGGUUACUUUAAGUUCUUUAAGUAAUAGUUGUAGGCAAUUCAGUUGCAAAUUAGGGGGUUAUUUUAAAUAUUGUUUAUAAUAUCAUAAGUGGGUAAUUUUGAUGAAGAUUAGGGGGUUACUUUAGUUUAUUUAUAUAAUGGCAGAGGUGGGUAAUUUAUAUAUAGAUUUAGGGGUUACUUUAUUAGGCUAUUUUUAUAAUGGCAUAGGUGGGUAAUUUUUUUAGAAAAUAUAAUAGAUCCAAUGGCUAUGAUGAUUUGAAUCUAUCGAUCGAUGGUCGGAUGUUUUGCUUUUUGUGAGAAUUUCUAGGAUUUCUCUCUUUUUCUAGAGUGUGUCCACCUAGGAAUCCUAGGUGGCUUCACCUGAAGGCUUCAAAAGGAACCUCCAAUUAAUAAUAGUAAGAUUAAACAUAGACUAAUUGGAAAACCAAUUGCACAGAUGGAGGCUAAUUUGCGAGACGAAUCUAUUAAGCUUAAUUAGUCCAUGAUUUGAUAAUGCGAUGCUACAGUAAACAUAUGCUAAUGAUGGAUUAAUUAGGCUUAAUAGAUUCGUCUCGUGAAUUAACCUCCAUCUGUGUAAUUAGUUUUAUAAUUAGCUCAUGUUUAGUUCUCCUAAUUAACCUUCGAAUAUUCGAUGUGACAUGAACUUUAGUCCGAACUAAAGAUCAAACACUCCCUUAGUACACUCCCUUAGUCAUUAAGGAUUCGAUUUUUUCAGGUUUGGUUUUUCUAAAAAACUUACUAGGAGACGGUUUUAUUAACUCCCCGUAAAAAACCAAGAACAAUCUUUGAAACCGUCAUUGUUGGUGACGGUAGUUGGGAGUGGCAUGUUUUGGAGUGUUGGAAGAUGGCAAAAGUGCGCAUGCCGAAACGAGGAGCGAACCAGCCAGGCAGCCAGGCAGCCAAGGACGUCAGAACAUCAGUGUCCCUACUAGGGAAUGGAACCACUACCCUCUUUGCAGCAAAAUAGCCUAGUUGCUGCACUUCACCAUGGCCGUUGCUUUGCUGCCAUGGCGUCGGCUUUUCCAUCGUCUUUUUUCUAAGAUGUGCCACCUUUUUGCUUACCAGUUUGCUUUUUUUUUUACCCAAGAUAUUUUUUUUCUAUUUAGGAUAAGAGGAGAAAUGGUAUGGGUUCUGAAAAGGAUUGUUAGAUUUGGCUAGGCUGGCUUUGCACAUGGCUGCGCGGUCUCGCCAUUGGCUUGGCACUUUGGCAGUGGCCAAGAAGGAAUUCCAAUUUCCAUCCAUCCGCCCAGGGCCGGUCCUGGGGCAGGGUGGACGGGGCGGCCGUCCCAGGCCCCCCAAAAGUCAGGGCCCCAGUUGGUGUGUAUCAGUGUCUGCAAUAGCUAGUGAUUUGUGCCAUCAUGAUCUGGAGCGAAAGGACCUUCCUCCGUGAAACACGUCGCUUCAGUCAAUUGUGAUUAUCUUCCAUGCCCUAAGCCGGCCCCUAAUCCCGUCUUGUCUCCGCUCUUCUCUCCUUCCUCGUAUCUAGCACAAAACACUCCUGCAUAUCCCUUUUUUUUAUUUUGAUAUAUCGUGAGAUGGCAAUAAUCAUAGCCACAUGGGGAGGGUGAAAGAAGUCCGGCUUACAGCUGAUUGUUAUCGCAGUUUGUUUCAUGCCUAAGUUGAUGUUAUUAAAACAAAAGCCACAUAGAUACUCUCAAAAAAUAGAAGAAAAAUUAUGUAGGUACGCUUCAGGGAAAUAUAAACUAAAGGCAAUAAAUAAUACUGAUAGGAAAAUAUUAGUUGUAAUUAAUGCAAUAAAUGCUUUUAGAUUAUACAUAGGAUUUAAAGAGUUUACGGUACGGACAGAUUGUGAAGCUCUACGUAGAUACUAAAUUAAUAGUAAGAAAAGUUCAACUAGAAGAUGGGUCUUAUUUGAAGAUAUUAUUACAGAAAAUGGAUAUAAAGUAAUAUUUGAGCAUAUAACCUUCGUGAUAUAUUCUUUCGGUCAUCUAUUUUGCAGGAAUGAAAAGAGGAGUAAGCCAAACAAGGGGUGAUUAUUUUUGUUUUAGAGUAGAAAAUAAAUUAAGAAUAUUUCCACCAAAUACAUAUAAAUUUAAGCCCAGAGAUCAUGUUGUACUUGAUGAAGUACAAAAAUGUAUACUAGAUAAUUUCUGGUAUCAAUAUAAUAAUAAAAGAGAUGAUAAAGGUUAUAUGCUAGCUAUACUAGCUUAGUUGAAUAUUUUCAUACGAUUAAUGGUUUAAUACAACCAAAAGAGACACCUGAAAAUAUAGAGAAAAGACCUAUAUAUGUCAUAUAUAAAGGAAAGGCUCCAGGAUACCAGGACGGAAAGAGAUUUCAGGAAAUUGAAUAUUUGAGUUACUGUUCACUGCUACUAUUCAAAUUCAGGAUACUAUUCAAGGUAUGAGAUACUAUUUAUAUUAAGCACACUAUUCAAAAUAUGAAUAUGAACAAUGCUUGAGCACUUAUCCUUGAGUGGGUGGAUCACUUCAAGAUGAGUGGCACUUGGGAACUAUUAAGUAUUCUGGGCACUAUUGCGUAAGUAUUCAACACUAUGGGUCGCUUUCACGAUAUGCACGGGUGCGUGAUUAGGAUAUAGCUUAAUUAGACUAUAUCGAUUCACAGGAUCUUUGCAGGUUGGCGAGACCAAAAAUUCAGCCAGUCGUACUGCUAUGCUUUGUGUUACUCCUACUCGGUACUCACCGCAUGCAUCGCUGGCUCGCUUUAGAACCAGGCUAGCCCGAUCUUCACCCUCACCAUCCCCAGCCACGCACACACAGGACUCCGGCUCUACCGUCUCCCCAGGCAGUUCCAUCCGAAGGGAACACUUCUCUGCACACACAGGGUUCUCCUCAAACGCCGCUACUAGGGCUAACACAAGAACGACACACAGAGAGGUUUCUCCUCUAGGGUCCCUAGCGUAGAGACAUCGCUCUAUAUGAACGAGCUUAAAGGAAGGCACGGAUAUUACCAGGACAGUUUAAUCCAUUUCCACGGGACAAGCUGACAUACGACUUUCCCUUUUGGAAAACCCCAAGCACUUAGCAGAAACCUUAGGGAUUACCUUACAACCGUGUGAUGAGCUUCACCGACUUCCCUUUAUUCUACUUUUACAAAGGUGGUGGAGUAAUACAACGGUAGUGGGGUGUCACUACUAAUGGUGGAUAUUCUCAGAGCACUUCUGAGGUGGCGGUCUUCAUGGAGUAUUGGAGAGUGGAGUGGGAGUGGAGGUCUUUGCUGAUCGAGCGAUGAUGAUGGUGGUGGUUGUUCUUAUGCUAGUUCUUCUAGUGCUGGUGUUGAAUGCUUCACCCGACUUCUCCUUUUAUAGCCCGAGGAGAGGCUUUGGGAGACUCUUCAAUUAUUUAUCUCUGCUAUUGCCUGGACAACUGGACGGUGCUUCAUUCUUCAAUAACUUUUCUAGCUACAGUAGAGUUACUAUUUGUUCCUUUCGCUCUCUGCCCUCUAUCGUGUACUGUCUUCCCAUGACAUUUUGGAUGUUGCUUGGUAUGGUCUUCCACGCCCGAAUGAUUGACGUCGCAGACUUCAAUCACAAAUAUCAAGGCAUGUAUUAUUGUUCCCACGACCGAAUUGUUGUUAACACUUUAACAAUAGGGAAUAUAUUGUUAUGUGAGGCCGAAUAUUCUUUUAUAAAUGCUAUAUUUUCAUAUUUAUUCACUUUCUUCAAUAUCGGGUUCUUCUAGUUGCCAUAAUUCAUACCAUGACAACAAUUCAUGAUAUUCCUUUCAUAACUCUUAUUCUUGACUAUCACCUCGGAUAUCCAUCAUAUAAUCAUCAGAUAUUGGUCUAUCAUUUUUAAUUCAUAAUCUUUCUGUAUAUUUUUAAAUUUUUCAUCUAUUUCAACCAUUAUUUCUUCCAAAAUUUCUUCCUUUAAAUUUUUGUUCCACUGGGGAUAUAUUGAUUCAAACUUUUCUUUUAGCUUCUUCUCAAUAUAUUCUUCAUUCAAUGAAUCUGUCUCUUUCUUUAAGACUUCUUUAUAUGUUGGUAUCCCGGAUGGUCCAUCUUCUCUUAUAUUAAUUCCAGGUAAGCUUAACUUAACCUCCUUUGAUUUUUUGUAUUUUUGAAUAUAUUCUUUUGCUGCAGGCUCUAAAAACUAAUUCGCUCCCAAAAUAUUUCUAGCAUAUGAGAGUGCUUGAUCAAUAUCAGUGUAUUUUUUCCAUAAUAUUCCUCCAUCUUUGUCUUUUUCUAUCUUUUGAGCUAUGACAUGCUCAUAUGAUACAUAAAUUCCUGGAGCCUUUCCUUUAUAUAUGACAUAUAUAGGUCUUUUCUCUAUAUUUUUAGGAGUCUCUUUUGGUUGUAUUAAACCAUUAAUCGUAUGAAAGUAUUCAGCUAAGCUAUUUAGUAUAGCUAGCAUAUAACCUUUAUCUUCUCUUUUGUUAUUAUAUUGAUACCAGAAAUUAUCUAGUAUGCAUUCUUGUACUUCAUCAAGUACAAUAUGAUCUUUGGGCUUAAAUUUAUAUGUAUUUGGUGGAAAUAUUCUUAUUUUGUUUUCUGCUCCAAACAAAAACAAUCACCCCCUAUUGGGCUUACUCCUCUCUUCAUUCCUGCAAAAUAGAUGACCGAGAGGUAUUAUCUUUUCCUUUUAUACGCUCAAAUAUUACUUUAUAUCCAUUUCCUGUAAUAAUAUCUCCAAAUAAGACCCAUCUUCUAGUUGAAAUUUUCUUACUAUUAAUUUUAUUGUAGUAUCUACAUAUAGCUUCACAAUAUGUCCUUACUGUGAAGUCUUUAAAUCCUAGGUAUAAUCUAAAAGCAUUUAUUGCAUUAAUUACAACUAAUAUUUCCCUAUCAGUAUUAUUUAUUGUCUUUAGUUUAUGUAGAUACUACAAUAAAAUUAAUAGUAAGAAAAUUUCAACUAGAAGAUGGGUCUUAUUUGAAGAUAUUAUUACAGGAAAUGGAUAUAAAGUAAUAUUUGAGCAUAUAAAAGGAAAAGAUAAUACUAUUCCUGAUAUAUUCUCUUGGUCAUCUAUUUUGCAGGAACGAAGAGAGGAGUAAGCCCAACAGGGGGUGAUUGUUUUGUCUUGGAGCAGAAAACAAAUUAAGAAUAUUUCCACCAAAUACAUAUAAAUUUAAGCCCAGAGAUCAUAUUGUACUUGAUGAAGUACAAGAAUGCAUACUAGAUAAUUUCUGGUAUCAAUAUAAUAACAAACGAGAAGAUAAAGGUUAUAUGCUAGCUAUACUAAAUAGCUUAGCUGAAUAUUUUCAUACAAUUAAUGGUUUAAUACAACCAAAAGAGACUCCUAAAAAUAUAGAGAAAAGACCUAUAUAUGUCAUAUAUAAAGGAAAGGCUCCAGGAAUUUAUGUAUCAUAUGAGCAUGUCAUAGCUCAAAAGAUAGAAAAAGAUAAAGAUGGAGGAAUAUUAUGGAAAAAAUACACUGAUAUUGAUCAAGCACUCUCAUAUGCUAGAAAUAUUUUGGGAGCGAAUUAUUUUUUAGAGCCUGCAGCAAAAGAAUAUAUUAAAAAAUAUAAAAAAUCAAAGGAGGUUAAGUUAAGCUUACCUGGAAUUAAUAUAAGAGAAGAUGGACCAUCCGGGAUACCAACAUAUAAAGAAGUCUUACAGAAAGAGACAGAUUCAUUGAAUGAAGAAUAUAUUGAGAAGAAGCUAAAAGAAAAGUUUGAAUCAAUAUAUCCCCAGUGGAACAAAAAUUUAAAGGAAGAAAUUUUGGAAGAAAUAAUGGUUGAAAUAGAUGAAAAAUUUAAAAAUAUAUAUAAAGAUUAUGAAUUAAAAAUGGAUAUACCAAUAUGUGACGAUGAUAUGAUGGAUAUCCGAGGUGAUAGUCAAGAAUAAGAGUUAAGAAAGAAAAAUCGUGAAUUGUUGUCAUGGUUUGAAUUAUGGCAACCAGAAGAACCCGAUAUUGAAGAAAGUGAAUAAAUAUGAAAAUAUAGCUUUUUAUAAAAGAAUAUUCGGUCUCACAUAAAAAUAUAUUCUCUGUGUUGUUAAAGUGUUAACAACAAUUCGGCCGUGGGAAGAAUAACACAUGCCAUGAUAUUUGUAAUUGAAGUCUGCGACGUCAAUCAUUCGACCCUGGAAAACCAUAGCAAGCAGCAUGCAGAAUGCCAUGGGAAGAUAGUACACGAUAGAGAACAGAGCACAAAAGGAAUAAACAGUGAUUCAACUAUAGCCAGGACAAUUAUUGAAGAAUGCAGCAACGUCCAGCUAUCCAGGCAACAACAGAGAUAAAUAAUUGAGGAGUCUCCCGAAGGCUCUCCUCGGGCUAUAAAAGGAGAAGCCGAGCAAAGCAUUGGAUACCAGCAUCAUAAGCAUAAGAAGAACGACCACCACCAUCAACGAAGACACAAGACCUCCACUCCCACUCCGUUCUCCAAUACUCCAUGAAGACCACCACCUCAGAAGUGUUCUGAGAAUACCCACCAUUAGUAGUAACAUCCUACUAUUGUUCAAACUUGUUUGCUUCGAAGAGCAUAAGAAAAGAGAUAAUUUUUAUCUAAAAAAUUGAUAAAAUCAAAUUAGAAGCACUUGUCAAAUUUUAAAUUAAACGUGUACUUACUAACCUACGUGUAUCAGUUGGAUCAUUCUUUUCUUACAGGAAAUUAUCGAUAUUUAUGUCCCAUUAGAGCAUCUCUAGCGGUCACCCAAUAAAUAUUUUCAAUAACCAGUUAAUAGGAAUAUCUCAAAAUAUAUCACUUUCAUUAUUAUUGGAGAGUUACUUUUAUAUUAUAGUCUUCCCGAGUACAUCCCAAUACGUAUUCUUCGUGAGUACAUCCCAACACGGUAACUGGAUUGGAAAAGGGACUUUUAGCUUUGAUCUCGUUCCAGGCCCAAAAAUGCCAGGACCGGGCCAAACAAGGAAGAAGCUGCAGCAACAACCACUGCCGGCUCCCUUUCGGGUUCCUCCAUCACUACUCUAUUGCUAUGGGAUAUGGCAUCACUCAUCGCACAUGGACAUUGGUGUAGUGCAGUGUAGGCUCCACGCCACCAAGGAGAAGCAGGACUGAUGAAGGAGAUGCUCUGCUGCUCCGGUAGACUGGUACCAAAGCAAGCAUUCAACCUCUGCUCUCUGCUGCUGCUGGGGCCACUCGUGCACAGUACAGAAGACCGUACGACUCGCGUCUCAUUGGGCGCCUCCCUGACAUGGUGGGCCCACGCGUACCUACCGCGUCACUCUCCUGGUGAUCACAUCACAUCAAGAUAUUUCCAAUCUUUUUUUAACGGAAGAUAUUUCCAAUCUUUCAGCUCUAGAGCACGUAAAAACUGAGGCUCCUAACCAUAUCAUCACAAGUUCUUAACCGCCGAGAUAAAAAAAAAGACCAUAACGGCCUUUAAGAUUCGUGCUCGGAACCGCACCGGCAGUUCUCGAUCCGACGGUCCGCUGGCGCCACUACCAGACGGCGUACUAGUAGGCUACAGCCACCCGCACUAGCGACUGUGGUCUGGCUGCACUGGAACGAACGAGACGAGCCCAAUGCAUGGCGCCAAAGAAAGCAUCCGGCCCCCCAGAGACAAAGACGGCGCGGCGCCCAGCGAGCAACACAGCGCGUGGCAGCCUCACAUGCACGCGCGACGACGGAGACCGCAGCAAAGCAACGACAAAAGAAACCCAAAGCCUCCAGUCCACGGCGGCGCGCGCAAUGCCGGCAGGACCCGCGCCAAUGCCGCCGCCGGCCGGCGAGCGCACGGUGAAGGCGUGAAGCGAACGACCCACCCCACGCCAACGCGAACGCGUACAAAUACUUACCCGCCCGAUGAGCUCCCAGAGCGAGGCGUUGAGCGCCGCGGCGGUGCCGAUGACCUGCGGGAACGCGCCGCCGAACCGCACGCCCGGACCCCUGACCGACACGCCGUGCAGCGCCCCCGACAACCACUCGUACCCGGCCACGCCCAGCCGGGGCACCCCGGCCGCGUUGUUCACCAGCAGCCGCACCUUCUCGGCGCGGGUGAGCCGGGACACGAAGUCGCGGGCGCGGGCCCGCAGCGGCAGCGACCGACGGCAGAACGGCAGCGACGUCGCGGGGCCGCCCGGGGCGCACGCGAACGCCGCUCGCGCCGUCGCCGCCGGCGCCGUCGCGGCCAGCAGGACGGCUAGGAGGAGGAGGAGGAGGGUGCGGCGCCGCAUGGCUGCCGGCGGCGGGAUGGGACGGCGGAGGGAGGCGGCAAUGUGCUUGUGGAGAUGGAGCGGCGGGGCAGUGUGCGGUUAUAUAGAGCGAGCAGGCAGCGCCGCAAGUUGCAACCACCGCAGGGGAAGAAGAUGGUGGUUAUUGCAAAGCAAAGAAUAUCCUCCUCUCUUUUUUCUGUUCCUUCUCAUUUUUUGAAGAGGUCACAAACCGCUACUAUUUCAUAUGAUAUUGUUUACUUAAUUAUCUUGGUAUUAGUAGAUUUGGAGGACUGUAACUGCUGCGUGACAGUUCUGUGCAGUCUGCUAUGUCUUGAGGAAUUUAGGCUCCUCCAAAACUCCCAACUUUGAUACUAGGCAAAAAGAAGAUUCUCCAUCACAUCAAACUUGCGGUACAUGCAUAGAGUACUAAAUGUAGAUGAAAUCAAAACUAAUUGCAUAGUUUUGUUGUACUUUGCGAGACGAAUCUUUUAAGCCUUAUUAGUCAAUAUUUGGACAAUAAUUCACAAAUACAAACGAAACGCUACAGUGUGCUACAGUGCUACAACAGUAAUUUUGCACCUCCAAAUUUUGGGCAACUAAACAAGGCCUCAAUUGCUGAGAAAGGCAGGUAAACUGACUGGUAAGGCCUUGUUUAGUUGCCCAACUUGGGUGCACCUAAAUUACUGCAGCAACACUGUAGCGUUUCGUUUGUAUUUAUAAAUUAUUGUCUAAAUAUUGACUAAUUAGGCUCAAAAGAUUCGUCUCGCAAAGUACAACAAAACUGUGCAAUUAGUUUUUGAUUUCAUCUCCAUUUAGUACUCCAUGCAUGUACCGCAAGUUUGAUGUGAUGGGGAAUCUUCUUUUUGCAUAGUAUCAAAGUUGGGAGUUGGGGGUGAACUAAACAAGGGCUAAAUGUGUGCCAAGGACAGGACAAAGCACAACAUGAUUAGCAAACCACCUUGGUAAUGGUUUCAGAAUUUGCAGGGACAAUAAGUAAUUUUUUUUGUUUUUUUAAAAAAUAAAAAUUUAUUAGAGGAUAUAUCAGUUAAAGGAUGGCACAUGAAUUAGUGUAUGAUUUUGUGCUGAGAUUAAUUGCCAUGGAGGUUAAGAUCACAGUACUUGCACCGUUGCAGAGUACCAUCUUUUGUUGCAAGGAAAAAGAGGAUCUUUAUUGCCUACUACUACUACUAUGAAAGCAGAGGCACCCUGUUGCCACCUUUCCCGGCCCCUUUCAUCCAGAAGCACUCUUUCAACCAUCCCUUGAUGUUUACUAACUACAAGUGCUUUUGAUAGACAAUUUGACGCAAAAUUCAUCCCAACAAAAAGCACAGAAGCUAUCUGAAAUCCACUCGUUCCAAACAAAUUCGUGGUGGUUAUGAUGCACACAGUGACCAAGUAAAUGGCUAUGAUAUCAAAUCGCCUUGUUUUUUAGCUUUUGGGUUGAUGUACCGUGAAAAGAGGCUGUCAUCGCCUUUAGCAACCAGCCUCAUCAGCACGUACACAUUUGUGAAAGAGAAAGAGAAAGAGAAAGAGAGGUGGAGAUAUUCAUGGCAUGAAAUGAAUUGAAGGACCACAUGCAAGAAAAGACCAACAAAAGGAUACUUCUCUAUCCAAAAACAUGUCGGCGUGUCGCCGGAGCGAGACGUACGUAGCACGCAUGCAACCACUCUGGCCACAGCCUCAAGCGCCGCUAUCAUCCCAGCGCAAAAAUGUUGGUGUAUACGUACAUGGAAAAAAGAAGCAUGUACGCGCUUGUACGAGUUCAGAACACGUUCCAAAAAAACGCACAUAAAUCCAUGCAAAACUGCUGAAAUUCACCGCCCAAAUGUUGCUACGUACUACUUGGCGAAAACCAUGCGUGUGCUUGUACGAGUUAAGAAGAUGUUUGGAAACACACGGCACAAAAUUCAUGCCAGUAAGGCCAUGUUUUUUUCAGCUUCUUGGACCAGCUUUCCGGUUUCUAACAGCCAGAAGUAGAAAGCUAAAACAAACAGUCUAACUGAUUACCGUUAUUAAAUGGUCAGAUUUAGCGGGCGGGCAGCCAACCUGCCACGGCGUACGGGAUUUCUCCAGCGGUUGCUUCGUCCAAUACUCCUACUACCAAAUACUGCCAUGCAUCGAAUUGCCUUUCAUGUCACCGAACGCCUUUACAGCAACGGUUCAUUGAAUGAUCGCAGCACACAGCUUCCGAUCUCUGAACCUAAUCGUGAUCUGAUUAGGUUCUUAACAGUGCUCGAGAAAAAAGAGAGUUGAUUGUGUGAUUAAGAAAGUUUAUCCAGCCGCCAAAUGUUUUGUUUUUGUCUUUACUACCCUGAUGAAGAAGAUUGCUGCAGCCUGAAAGCUACUCUUGCUUGAACAGCAGCUAGGUUGAGCAAUUAGUAGCUUUCACAGAAAGAAUCACUUGCCGAUUUGACCAACCCUGAUGACUGAUGAGGAUAAGGUAGCGUUGAUAAAAUUGACAGCUUCAUCCAGACGGUCGGUCGGUUUCCUGCUACGGAUCUCCGCUCGCUUUCUUGACGUUGAUCCGAUCCAAUCCAAUCCAUGGGAGGAAAGCAGAGUGUAACACCCCAAGAAAAAACAAACACCACCUUAGGAUGCUACUAAGCCACACCGGACAAAAGGGACAGAUUUUUGACAGCACCUUCCCUAAAUCAGGAACACCGCGGAAGCAAGAAACAAUAAGAUAUGAAAAUAGAUAAAGCAUACUAGCAUAAAUAAAAGAUCCUAACAUGAUAUUCAAACGAUUAAGGCAAGGUUUAACAAAGCUUAACCAUCAUUAAGCAACAAAUAGACUCUCAUAGAGAAGGACUUAAAUAUUACAGUAUCACACUAGAGGAUUUUGAUUAAAGAGAAGUGUGUGACGUGCUGCUACUUCCCAACCCCCAAGCAAAGCAUCCAUCCAUCAAGUACCUGAGAGGAUAACAAAAAAAUAGGGGUGAGAUAUAAAAUCUCAGCAAGUAACUAGCUUUAACAAGCUAUUUAAACUACAAGUUCAUUAGACCAUGGUUUAACUAUUAUCAGUAAGUGUAUCUCCUCAAUGAAUAAUAAUAAUAAUAACUCCAACACCCUCAUACAUAAAUAAAACCAAUUCGUCAUCAAACCUUGGAGAAAAUUCACUUCUCACCACCACUGCCAAAUAAAUACCAUAGAAAACCGAUAGCACCCUAAAUGCAAAUGCAAUGCAAAUGCCAUGUCUCCUGCCUUCAUACUCAACAAAGUAUGAAGCUGCAUCGUUAUGCCCAAUAAACGAUGCUGUACCGGUACGGUCGCGGCUAUCAAGCGGCGAAUUAACUCCAUAUGCCAUGCAUUGUGAUGCAAUGAAAUGCAAUGCCAAGACAGAUCGCACAAAGAGAGUAUACACCGCAUAUACCAGAUAAGUCUCUCCUCAUUUGACAACAUAAACCUCAUCAUAAUUAUGCUAACAAGAGCCAUUACCAAGUUAUAAAGUAAAGAAUAAGGCAUAUGUAAUAAAAACAGUAAGAUGUGCAUAAACUUGUAAUUGAAUGGAUGAUAUUGGAUAAGUUAUCAUUCUGAAAUUUAAGGUGGAGGUAGGAAAAAUAGCAAAUUAAAGCUUGUAGCAACCACCGCUACGUUACUUGCCUCCCAAAGAAGGAGAUAGCCGCUCUAAGCGUGAUCCGGAGCGUUACCACCUGUUUUGACACAAUAAGAUCAGAACAUAUCCUCAAACAACCAUGUGCACACAGCAAGUAAAGCACCCAUAUAGCCCAACCCGUCAAACAAGCGACGAUGGUAAACAUCACCUAGGUUAACCGCAGCAGUGCUGCUUCACUUUUUUGUAUCUUUAGAAUUACAAAAGAUAUGACAGCAAGCAAAUACAUCUUAGAAAACUAAGGGAGAAAUCUUACAACUUUGUUCAGAUCCUUUAUUUUUAGCAUAAUCCAAAGAGGGGUAAAACUGCAGUUGAAUGUGAAGUACAGAAUCUGUCUGAAAUUUCGGGCAGCAGCAUACAAAAAUUCAUAUCUCCCAAACCCCUUGUCCAAAAAUUCUAAAAGUUUGUCAGGACAUAUAUCUCUGAGAAACCUAAAACUUUGUUAUUAUGGGUUUCCACGAAUUCCAUCCUUAAGAUCAUCUAAUACAUCUCUGAACAUCUGCUGUCAAAAAUCUGGACAUUCAGAAACAGCGUCCAAACAAUAUUCAAUAACUGAAGGUAUACUCCACCAAAAAAUAUGAAACUUGGACAGCAGUUACAUCUCAUAAUUCUCUACAACUUUUGUAUGAUCCACUUCUGGAGGAGAAAUCGUUUAGGUCGCCAAAACUACAAGGACAUCAGCACUGCCCGAGCUACAGGACAGCACACCUUAAAUCGACAUUCAAACCGUGUUUUCCCCAACAAAUCCACUAAUCCUCAGGAC